Long non-coding RNA from Gorilla gorilla gorilla (western lowland gorilla), 640 nucleotides. RefSeq lists it as uncharacterized. The record is from RefSeq and is a predicted model, not a curated record. Lineage: Eukaryota; Metazoa; Chordata; Mammalia; Primates; Hominidae. The transcript has 3 exons.
GUCUGGGCGGUGACGUUUGGUCUGAGCUGACCUUUCCUCACAAUCGUGAAUUUGGGCUGUGAGGAUCAGGCCUUGCCAGAACCCGAGAUGAGAGAUUUCUGGGUCAGUAAGGGUGAGAGCCAGGCUCCAGACUAUAGUGAAUUUUCCGAGGAGAUUUGUUUGUCUACAUACCUUAUGACGUCGUGUAUGGCAAGGCACUUUAAGGUCAGAACUACAGAUGUCAAACUAGUUCUCUUAAUUUCAGGGAUCACAUGGUCAGGCAUAUACUGGUUCCAAAAAUCUUUACUAUAGAUCCGAAAGCAUUUUCCUGAAGAAGUCCUGCCAGCUCGGCCACUUCGCUGUAAUGCCUCGCUCUUACAAAAGGAAAAAAACCCAAAAAUUCCCCAAAAUGUUCUGUGGGUUUCUCAGGUAAUUUACUUUGUCUCCCCAAAACAGCUAGAAAUUACCUAAUCAGUUGUUCUUUGAAUAAAAAGAUUUGACAUAGAGACUUACUUUGAAAUUGGAACCACCUCCAGGAUGUCCAACCCUAAUCUGGGGUUGUGGUUUAACUGCUUCACAAAGCCACCAUCUACCACAUAUCUAAGAAGAAUCAAAGCAAGUUAAGUUUCUGGAAAAUAAAAGAAGACUUGUUAAUUUUUAA